UACGUAUGGGGCAAGCGUUGUUCGGAAUUAUUGGGCGUAAAGGGCUCGCAGGUGGUUUGUUAAGUUGGUGGUUUAAUCUUCGGGCUCAACCCGAAGUCAGCCAUCAAAACUGGCGAACUUGAGUAUGAGAGGGGAUAGCGGAAUUCUCGGUGUAGCGGUGGAAUGCGUAGAUAUCGAGAGGAACACCAAUGGCGAAGGCAGCUAUCUGGCUCGUAACUGACACUCAUGAGCGAAAGUGCGGGGAGCAAACAGG
This 253-nucleotide ribosomal RNA is filed under the name uncultured bacterium. RNAcentral describes it as "partial 16S ribosomal RNA". It matches the Rfam family "Bacterial small subunit ribosomal RNA", at positions 524 to 776 of the family's 1533-position model. The record is from RNAcentral.